RNAcentral lists this small RNA (136 nucleotides) under Candidatus Caccomorpha excrementavium. RNAcentral describes it as "Ribosomal protein L10 leader". It matches the Rfam family "Ribosomal protein L10 leader". Rfam says of the family: This family is a putative r-protein leader autoregulatory structure found in B. subtilis and other low-GC Gram-positive bacteria. It is located in the 5' untranslated regions of mRNAs encoding ribosomal proteins L10 and L12 (rplJ-rplL). A Rho-independent transcription terminator structure that is probably involved in regulation is included at the 3' end. The record is from RNAcentral. Lineage: Bacteria; Bacillati; Bacillota; Clostridia.
AAUCAACUGCCGAAGACAGCAGGUGCCGUAAGGCGUAAGGAGAACCCGCCUGCCGAGGAAUGAUUAACAGAUAAGAGUUAUGAAUCAGAGAAUUCUUAUGCUGCCUCCUGUCUUGCAGGAGGCAGUUUUUCAUUCA